GAUUCUAUAGUGUAAUGGUUAACACAUUUGCUUGGCAAGCAAAAGGCCGUUACUUUGAUUCCAGCUGGAAGCA
Molecule: transfer RNA, 73 nt
Filed under: Oreochromis niloticus (Nile tilapia)
Lineage: Eukaryota; Metazoa; Chordata; Actinopteri; Cichliformes; Cichlidae
Also listed under: 1 other name
Rfam family: tRNA
About the family: Transfer RNA (tRNA) molecules are approximately 80 nucleotides in length. Their secondary structure includes four short double-helical elements and three loops (D, anti-codon, and T loops).
Source: Rfam by way of RNAcentral